CGUAGGGUGCGAGCGUUAAUCGGAAUUACUGGGCGUAAAGGGUGCGCAGGCGGCUCCGCAUGUCGGGCGUGAAAUCCCCGGGCUUAACCUGGGAAUUGCGUCCGAAACUAUGGAGCUGGAGUGUGGCAGAGGGAGGUGGAAUUCCACGUGUAGCGGUGAAAUGCGUAGAGAUGUGGAGGAACACCGAUGGCGAAGGCAGCCUCCUGGGCCAACACUGACGCUCAUGCACGAAAGCGUGGGGAGCAAACAGGAUUAGAUACCCUGGUAGUCCACGCCCUAAACGAUGAUGACUAGUUGUUGGAGGAGUUAAAUCCUUUAGUAACGCAGCUAACGCGCGAAGUCAUCCGCCUGGGGAGUACGGUCGCAAGAUUA
RNAcentral lists this ribosomal RNA (372 nucleotides) under uncultured organism. RNAcentral's name for it is "bacterial SSU rRNA". It matches the Rfam family "Bacterial small subunit ribosomal RNA", at positions 526 to 896 of the family's 1533-position model. The record is from RNAcentral.